GGGUAUAUAGCUCAGUGGUAGAGCACUGUGGCAUGAAGCCCUGGGUUCAAACCCCAGUACCA
RNAcentral lists this transfer RNA (62 nucleotides) under Heterocephalus glaber (naked mole-rat). It matches the Rfam family "tRNA". Rfam says of the family: Transfer RNA (tRNA) molecules are approximately 80 nucleotides in length. Their secondary structure includes four short double-helical elements and three loops (D, anti-codon, and T loops). Further hydrogen bonds mediate the characteristic L-shaped molecular structure. tRNAs have two regions of fundamental functional importance: the anti-codon, which is responsible for specific mRNA codon recognition, and the 3' end, to which the tRNAs corresponding amino acid is attached (by aminoacyl-tRNA synthetases). tRNAs cope with the degeneracy of the genetic code in two manners: having more than one tRNA (with a specific anti-codon) for a particular amino acid; and 'wobble' base-pairing, i.e. permitting non-standard base-pairing at the 3rd anti-codon position. Lineage: Eukaryota; Metazoa; Chordata; Mammalia; Rodentia; Bathyergidae. The record is from Rfam by way of RNAcentral.